GAAACCCGAUGCUGCGGUGUCCUGGGAGCCCCGCGGAGCUGGAGCGACUAUCCUGGGACUGAAGGUCCAGUUUCCCCAGGGCGGAGGCGCAGCAGCGAAAGCCCCCAGAGAAGUGACUCGGAGAAUGACAAGGUGAAGUUCGAGAAGCCACAGACUACGGACCCUGAGGCUCAGAAAGUCUAGGUUUGCCUCUUACUAAGCUGUGUAACCCUGGACACACAGUCUGUCUACGCUGGACCUUCAUGUCUCUUUCUGAAAGGGGGGGAAACCAGAGCGCCUCCCCCUGCGUUCUGGCUCUCAGGUCUUGUGACUACAAACUGCUUUCUCCUGAACGCCUAGGCCUGGCUAUGAAUUGGUGGACAGCAGCAUAGCUUCCAGAGUGUGUCCUUUAGUCCAUCCAGAAGAGAAUUCCAGGAAAAGCACGUAUGUGGAUCACGAUUUGGCCUGACGGUCCCUUAGAAAAAACAGCUCACACCCGAGGUGAACAGUUGGCUGAUAAACGUCAGAGAAUGGCAGAGACCAGGCUCGCUGUCCUUAUAGGCACUACUGCUGGCCACACGCAGACCAAGUCCAACCAGCAUCCGCCAUCUUGUCCAACUGGAGCCCAAGUCCUGAUUUGCCUGAAUGGAAACCCCAGACACCAUAAGGAGUUAGUGCUUGACCUUCCUGCUUUGAGAGGCCUCACAACUCCCUGACUGGAGGGGAGAGCAUUUGCUGGCAGUCCCCAGGAUUCUAGUUGCUGAUUUCUUCCCAGUGAUGGGAUGAGCAAUGUGGCCUGUGAAGAUAGGCAGAUAAUUCAGCAACUUUUCCAAUGAGGUCAAUAUAGGCUUCUGAGUGAACUUGCUGUCCCAGGGGUCCAUGACCUCUUUGUUGAGAGCUGUGCUGAGGUACAAUGAGGGAGUGGGCAAGGGCCAAAGUGCCAAGAUGAUGGGGAUGUCCUUUUGUAUAUGUUUCUCUUAUUGGUUGGUGAAUAAAACACUGUUGGGCCAAUGGCCAACGAGACAGGAAGAUAGGCGUGACUAGGAAAGGAAUUGAGUCUGGGGAAGGUAGGCAGAGAGCCCUCCAGAACAGUUGUGAUGUAGCAGGCAAAGGAGUUGCAGGCCCAGCAUUCUCCGGUAAGCCAAGACCACGUGGAAGUACAUAGAUUAGUAGUUAUGGGUUAAUAAUUAAGACAGAGCUAGCCAAUAUAAA
RNAcentral lists this long non-coding RNA (1191 nucleotides) under Cricetulus griseus (Chinese hamster). Its description in RNAcentral is "lncRNA (ENSCGRG00015035501.1)". Lineage: Eukaryota; Metazoa; Chordata; Mammalia; Rodentia; Cricetidae. The record is from RNAcentral.